This 102-nucleotide transfer RNA is filed under the name Magnetospirillum gryphiswaldense MSR-1 v2. Its description in RNAcentral is "tRNA-Und (NNN) (tRNA-Und-NNN-1-1)". The record is from RNAcentral. Lineage: Bacteria; Pseudomonadati; Pseudomonadota; Alphaproteobacteria; Rhodospirillales; Rhodospirillaceae.
GUAGCACUUUGAAAGUAGCCAAUUUUCAUACCCUUUAUGCUCCUUCUAGCCAGUGAUUUGGUAAGGGUAAGGUCGAAGGUUCGAUUCCUUUCGGCAGCACCA